Molecule: long non-coding RNA, 113 nt
Organism: Schistocerca gregaria
Lineage: Eukaryota; Metazoa; Arthropoda; Insecta; Orthoptera; Acrididae
Exons: 2
Source: RefSeq, a predicted model, not a curated record
AUUCCACUGUUUCGUUUAUCUCAGCCAGCAUCAGUAGUAUCGUUGGUGUGUGUCGUUGCGUGUUGACGUGAACGUUUGGUCGUGAUGCUGGUUACAAGGGAACAGGAACAAAA